CAGCCGCCGCGGUAAUACGUAGGUGGCAAGCGUUGUCCGGAAUUAUUGGGCGUAAAGCGCGCGCAGGCGGUCCCUUAAGUCUGAUGUGAAAGCCCACGGCUCAACCGUGGAGGGUCAUUGGAAACUGGGGGACUUGAGUGCAGAAGAGGAAAGUGGAAUUCCACAUGUAGCGGUGAAAUGCGUAGAGAUGUGGAGGAACACCAGUGGCGAAGGCGACUUUCUGGUCUGUAACUGACGCUGAGGCGCGAAAGCGUGGGGAGCAAACAGGAUUAGAUACCCUGGUAGUCCACGCCGUAAACGAUGAGUGCUAAGUGUUAGGGGGUUUCCGCCCCUUAGUGCUGCAGCUAACGCAUUAAGCACUCCGCCUGGGGAGUACGGCCGCAAGGCUGAAACUUAAAGGAAUUGGCGGG
RNAcentral lists this ribosomal RNA (410 nucleotides) under uncultured microorganism. Its description in RNAcentral is "bacterial SSU rRNA". It matches the Rfam family "Bacterial small subunit ribosomal RNA", at positions 509 to 917 of the family's 1533-position model. The record is from RNAcentral.